Molecule: ribosomal RNA, 434 nt
Filed under: Pieris oleracea (mustard white)
Lineage: Eukaryota; Metazoa; Arthropoda; Insecta; Lepidoptera; Pieridae
Also listed under: 2 other names
Description: partial 12S ribosomal RNA
Source: RNAcentral
AAAAAAUUAAAAUAAAUUACUAAAAUAGUAUAUAAUUAUUUAUUGAAACUUAAAUAAUUUGGCGGUAUUUUAGUUCAUUUAGAGGAAUCUGUCUAGUAAUUGAUAAUCCACGAAUAAUCAUAUUUAAUUUAUAAUUUUAUAUAUCGUUGUUAAAAAAAUAUUUUUAAAUAAAAAUAAUAUUUUAAAAUUUUAAUAAUAAAAUUAAUUCAGAUCAAGAUGUAGAUAAUAAUUAAAAUAUAAGAUGGAUUACAAUAUAAAUAUAUAAAUGGAUAUUAAUUUUGAAAUAGUUAGUUAAAAGUGGAUUUAAAUGUAAUUUUAAAUAAUUUUUUAAAAUGAUUAAUAAUUGAAAUAUGUACAUAUUGCCCGUCACUUUCAUUUAAAAAUUGAAAUAAGUCGUAACAAAGUAGGGGUACUGGAAAGUGUUCCUAGAAAGA